This 1627-nucleotide ribosomal RNA is filed under the name Escherichia coli. RNAcentral describes it as "partial 23S ribosomal RNA". It matches the Rfam family "Bacterial large subunit ribosomal RNA", at positions 413 to 2025 of the family's 2925-position model. The record is from RNAcentral. Lineage: Bacteria; Pseudomonadati; Pseudomonadota; Gammaproteobacteria; Enterobacterales; Enterobacteriaceae.
UAGGGCGGGACACGUGGUAUCCUGUCUGAAUAUGGGGGGACCAUCCUCCAAGGCUAAAUACUCCUGACUGACCGAUAGUGAACCAGUACCGUGAGGGAAAGGCGAAAAGAACCCCGGCGAGGGGAGUGAAAAAGAACCUGAAACCGUGUACGUACAAGCAGUGGGAGCCUCUUUAUGGGGUGACUGCGUACCUUUUGUAUAAUGGGUCAGCGACUUAUAUUCUGUAGCAAGGUUAACCGAAUAGGGGAGCCGAAGGGAAACCGAGUCUUAACUGGGCGUUAAGUUGCAGGGUAUAGACCCGAAACCCGGUGAUCUAGCCAUGGGCAGGUUGAAGGUUGGGUAACACUAACUGGAGGACCGAACCGACUAAUGUUGAAAAAUUAGCGGAUGACUUGUGGCUGGGGGUGAAAGGCCAAUCAAACCGGGAGAUAGCUGGUUCUCCCCGAAAGCUAUUUAGGUAGCGCCUCGUGAAUUCAUCUCCGGGGGUAGAGCACUGUUUCGGCAAGGGGGUCAUCCCGACUUACCAACCCGAUGCAAACUGCGAAUACCGGAGAAUGUUAUCACGGGAGACACACGGCGGGUGCUAACGUCCGUCGUGAAGAGGGAAACAACCCAGACCGCCAGCUAAGGUCCCAAAGUCAUGGUUAAGUGGGAAACGAUGUGGGAAGGCCCAGACAGCCAGGAUGUUGGCUUAGAAGCAGCCAUCAUUUAAAGAAAGCGUAAUAGCUCACUGGUCGAGUCGGCCUGCGCGGAAGAUGUAACGGGGCUAAACCAUGCACCGAAGCUGCGGCAGCGACACUAUGUGUUGUUGGGUAGGGGAGCGUUCUGUAAGCCUGUGAAGGUGGCCUGUGAGGGUUGCUGGAGGUAUCAGAAGUGCGAAUGCUGACAUAAGUAACGAUAAAGCGGGUGAAAAGCCCGCUCGCCGGAAGACCAAGGGUUCCUGUCCAACGUUAAUCGGGGCAGGGUGAGUCGACCCCUAAGGCGAGGCCGAAAGGCGUAGUCGAUGGGAAACAGGUUAAUAUUCCUGUACUUGGUGUUACUGCGAAGGGGGGACGGAGAAGGCUAUGUUGGCCGGGCGACGGUUGUCCCGGUUUAAGCGUGUAGGCUGGUUUUCCAGGCAAAUCCGGAAAACCAAGGCUGAGGCGUGAUGACGAGGCACUACGGUGCUGAAGCGACAAAUGCCCUGCUUCCAGGAAAAGCCUCUAAGCAUCAGGUAACAUCAAAUCGUACCCCAAACCGACACAGGUGGUCAGGUAGAGAAUACCAAGGCGCUUGAGAGAACUCGGGUGAAGGAACUAGGCAAAAUGGUGCCGUAACUUCGGGAGAAGGCACGCUGAUAUGUAGGUGAAGCGACUUGCUCGUGGAGCUGAAAUCAGUCGAAGAUACCAGCUGGCUGCAACUGUUUAUUAAAAACACAGCACUGUGCAAACACGAAAGUGGACGUAUACGGUGUGACGCCUGCCCGGUGCCGGAAGGUUAAUUGAUGGGGUUAGCGGUAACGCGAAGCUCUUGAUCGAAGCCCCGGUAAACGGCGGCCGUAACUAUAACGGUCCUAAGGUAGCGAAAUUCCUUGUCGGGUAAGUUCCGACCUGCACGAAUGGCGUAAUGAUGGCCAGGCUGUCUCCAC